This 712-nucleotide ribosomal RNA is filed under the name Alcanivorax sp. Its description in RNAcentral is "bacterial SSU rRNA". It matches the Rfam family "Bacterial small subunit ribosomal RNA", at positions 28 to 732 of the family's 1533-position model. Lineage: Bacteria; Pseudomonadati; Pseudomonadota; Gammaproteobacteria; Oceanospirillales; Alcanivoracaceae. The record is from RNAcentral.
AUUGAACGCUGGCGGCAGGCCUAACACAUGCAAGUCGAGCGGAAACGAUGGKUGCUUGCUYCCAGGCGUCGAGCGGCGGACGGGUGAGUAACGCGUGAGAAUCUGCCCAUUUGUGGGGGAUAACUCGGGGAAACUCGAGCUAAUACCGCAUAAUCCCUACGGGGGAAAGCAGGGGACCUUCGGGCCUUGUGCAGAUGGAUGAGCUCGCGUCGGAUUAGCUUGUUGGUGAGGUAAAGGCUCACCAAGGCGACGAUCCGUAGCUGGUCUGAGAGGAUGAUCAGCCACACCGGGACUGAGACACGGCCCGGACUCCUACGGGAGGCAGCAGUGGGGAAUCUUGGACAAUGGGGGCAACCCUGAUCCAGCCAUGCCGCGUGWGUGAAGAAGGCYUUCGGGUUGUAAAGCUCUUUCAGUAGGGAGGAASRCUUACCKMUAAUAMCGGUGAGUWCUUGACGUUACCUACWGAAGAAGCCCCGGCUAAUUUCGUGCCAGCAGCCGCGGUAAUACGAAAGGUGCGAGCGUUAWUCGGAAUUAYUGGGCGUAAAGCGCGCGUAGGCGGUUUGUUAAGUCAGAUGUGAAAGCCCCGGGCUCAACCUGGGAAUUKCAUUUGAAACUGGCAGGCUAGAGUGCAGUAGAGGGAGGUGGAAUUCCGGUGUAGCGGUGAAAUGCGUAGAGAUCGGAAGGAACACCAGUGGCGAAGGCGGCCUCCUGG